CAAAUGAGUACACAUAAGGUUCAGUCUGGGCAAGUCAGGUGCGGCGGCGUGUUCACAUGUGUACUUUGGUAUGCUAUGUGUGAAUUGCUGCUGAUCCGCAUCGCAUUUUGCCGAUUGACGCGCUGCUUGUCUUUGUCUUGGUUGCAAUCAUAGCAACGUAUGCCGGUCGACUUUGUCGAUUCUGGCAAAUUGAUAGUGGUGUUGCACUUUUGUGCACGUACAUGGGAAACAUUUCGUCUUGGCGAAGUGUUAGUCAGCUUGGACAAAGAUUGUCAAACUCUGGUCCGGCGGCUUGUUGAUAGUCAUGUGCUUACAGCGGUUUUGGUGUGCUGUGGCUUCGGUUGCAGUAUGGCAAGGAUUGUUGUGUGGUGCAUGGUGUUUGUCGGUUGUUCGGAAUGAAAAGCAGGCCAUGUUGUGGCAUCAUUUGAACCGUCUUGAAACACGGGCUAAGGAGUUCAACAAAUGUGCAAGUUAUCUGGUCGAUUGAAACCAGACAGCGCAGUGAAAGCAAGUUGGUUUAUAAUUGUGAUAACUGUUAACACAGUUGUGUUAAUGGAUCAUCACUUUUGAUGGAUGGCACGUAAGGUACCGGUUGUCGUUCGCAAUCGAGCGCAUAUGUUGAGACCCGAAAGAUGGUGAACUAUGCCUGAGUAGGAUGAAGCCGGAGGAAACUCUGGUGGAGGUCCGUAGCGUUUUUGACGUGCAAAUCAAUCGUCAGACUUGGGUAUAGGGGCGAAAGACUAAUCGAACCAUCUAGUAGCUGGUUCCCUUCGAAGUUUCCCCCAGGAAAGCUGGUGUUGUAUCAGACAGUUUCGUCUGGUAAAGCGAAUGAUUAGAGGCAUUGGGGAUGAAUUGUCCUCGACCUAUUCUCAAACUUUAAAUGGGCGAAGAGCUCUGACACUACUUGAUUGAGUGUCGAGCUAGAAUGCAAUGGCACCAAGUGGGCCACUUUUGGUAAGCAGAACUGGCGAUGUGGGAUGAACCAAACGUUGAGCUAAGAUGCCAAAAAUGCCUCUCAUGAGAUACCAUGAAAGGUGUCAGUCGAUACUGACAGCAGGACGGUGGCCGCAGAAGUAGGAAUCCGCUAAGGAGUGUGUAACAACUCACCUGCCGAAUCGACUGGCCCUGAAAAUGGAUGGCGCUAGAGACGCAUAUCGAUGCUCAACCGUCAAUGCCAACAAAUACAGCGAAUGCAAUAUGGCUUGGCGUGUAGAAGGGCGAUUGCGGUGGCGUCGAAACCUGCACCGUGAGGUGGGGUUGAGCCGCCGCAUGUGCAGAUCUUGGUGGUAGUNNNNNNNNNNNNNNNNNNNNNNNNNNNNACUGAAGUGGAGUAAGGUUCCAUGUGAACAACAUUUGAACAUGGAUCAGCCGAUCCUAAGAGAACGGUUAAGUUCGUGAUUAAGUGCGUUGCGUUGUGCAAUGCAAUCGAAAGGGAAUCGGGUUAAUAUUCCCGAGCCAGGAUACGGUUGAUGUUCAACAUUCCAGAAGUGCCUCGUGCACUGAUGGUGUUGUGCAUAAGUGGUAACACUAACAAACCCAGAAAUUAACUAUACGAAGUCCGGGGAAGAGUUUUCUCUUCUUUGUAAGGAAUGUUAUCCCUGGAAUCAGAUUGUCUGGCGAUAGGGUACGCAUUCCGUAAUGCAGCGCGAUUCCUGCGAUGUACCGUGCGCUUCGUAUAGUGCUUGAAAAUCUGGGGGCGCGAUAGUUCAGACCGUACCUGUUCGUACUGAUUUCCGCAGCAGGUCUCCAAGGUGAGCAGCCUCUAGUCAAUAGGACAAAGUAGACAAGGGAAGUCGGCAAAUUAGAUCCGUAACUUCGGAAAAAGGAUUGGCUCUAAAAGCUGAGCUGGUCGGGCUAUCGCAAUAAGCUGUUAGCUUUGUCUUGGCUCUGUCUCAGUUGCUGUAUGCUCGCAAGGGUGUCGGCUUCGAGGACGGACCUCGGUUUUGCGUUCUGUGUAAGGUGAUGGCUAUGCUGCCUGGUUGAUGAGUGAUCAACUUCCAGGUAGAUCCGAUCAGCGUUAAACAGCUGACCUAGAACUGGUAUGGACAAGGGGAAUCCAACUGUUUAAUUAAAACAAAGCAUUGCGAUAGCUGUAAUCGGUGUUGACGCAAUGUGAUUUCUGCCCAGUGCUCUGAAUGUUAAAGUGAAGAA
RNAcentral lists this ribosomal RNA (2151 nucleotides) under Acanthogyrus cf. tilapiae KMHS-2022. RNAcentral describes it as "partial large subunit ribosomal RNA". It matches the Rfam family "Eukaryotic large subunit ribosomal RNA", at positions 430 to 2229 of the family's 3401-position model. Lineage: Eukaryota; Metazoa; Acanthocephala; Eoacanthocephala; Gyracanthocephala; Quadrigyridae. The record is from RNAcentral.